Vollenhovia emeryi is the source of this 1227-nucleotide long non-coding RNA. RefSeq lists it as uncharacterized. The record is from RefSeq and is a predicted model, not a curated record. The transcript is spliced from 3 exons. Lineage: Eukaryota; Metazoa; Arthropoda; Insecta; Hymenoptera; Formicidae.
UCGCGCACACACACGUGCGUGCACCCGCGCGCGCGCGCGUUCCACUCACUCUCUUUCUCUCUCUCUCUCACGCGCGCUUUCGCUCUUUCACACCCGUCACAAGCGGAUUUCCCGCGUGCACCCGCACGUAACACGUUAUUAAUGCCGGACGCGAUGAGAAGACGUUCGCGCCGCCGCGUGCAAGCGGCAACUCGGUGUCCGACGGCCGACGCCGGUUAUCACGUAUCGAUCGCGCGCGACGAUUUCGCGGCACGCACGUACGUCGGACACGCGGGAACCGGAGGCGGGCACGCACGCACGGCCGUGACAGCCAUUUGCAUUCGCUGCUAUCUCCCCGGCACGGCUUCCUGCGAGCGCUUCGCCAGCACGCGGGAAGAUCGGACGUCGCGCAAGAUGGUUCCGGCCGGCUAAAAGACACGAGGGGGGGAGAGGAGGGAAGAGGUACGUCGGAGCCGACGGUGCGUGUGCGAGAGCGCCGUCGCCGCUUGGCCCGCGCGAAACGUCCAACCGAUCGCCGAUCGGCGCGCGCGACGUUUCGACCCUUCCUCCCGCGGCACGUUCGACGACUGUGCGACCCCAACACCGCGAGUUCUUGCCGGAGCACCUUCGAUCGCGAGCGCGGUCACUUAACCUAUCGACAGCGAGCGCGUCCGGAAAGCGAUCGCGCGGCUACGAACGAACGCGAUUGGCGUACAAGCUCGCGCGCCGAUAGGCCGCCGAGCGCACUGUCCUCCUCUCGGUGGGUUUGGGAGCGCGCCCGGCACUGCACGGAAUCCGCCUCUCGGUGGGUUUGGGAACGCGCCCGGCACUGGACGGAAUUUGCCUCUCGGCGCGUGAGAUAUCGGGCUCUACAAAUUCCCAGGGCGUAAGCGAUGAAGCCGUCUACACAGAUACCAACCAUUUGUUUGGAAUAGAAUGGAACCUUUGGAGCCCGAUAUCUCUGGAACGUUAAAUAGGUCCAUUCUGAGACUGACAUAUCUGUAAUCAGCUUGACGAUCAUCUUUAGAUACGCCAAUGAAAUGUUUCGUACAGCAUCUUCAGAUAAACUCAAGACGUGAAUAUAAGAUCGGACUGUGAAUACCGGCCCUAGACUGCUACCUUCGAGCUUUGAAAAGUGAGGCAAGAGUUCCGCCAUGUCUUGUUAGGAUAUCGCGGCAUUGCAGUAACUUCUGAUGCUUUAUUAUACACGUCCUUAGAAGGUCUGACAAGUUGUCGGUGGACAAAGGA